Molecule: ribosomal RNA, 862 nt
Filed under: uncultured bacterium
Lineage: Bacteria
Description: bacterial SSU rRNA
Rfam family: Bacterial small subunit ribosomal RNA
Source: RNAcentral
AGAGUUUGAUCCUGGCUCAGAACGAACGCUGGCGGCAGGCCUAACACAUGCAAGUCGAGCGCCCCCGCAAGGGGGAGCGGCGGACGGGUGAGUAACGCGUGGGAAUUUUCCUCAAGGUACGGAACAACUCAGGGAAACUUGGGCUAAUACCGUAUGAUGUCUAGCGACCAAAGAUUUAUCGCCUUGGGAUAAGCCCGCGUCAGAUUAGGUAGUUGGUGGGGUAACGGCCUACCAAGCCUGCGAUCUGUAGCUGGUCUGAGAGGACGAUCAGCCACACUGGGACUGAGACACGGCCCAGACUCCUACGGGAGGCAGCAGUGGGGAAUCUUGCGCAAUGGGCGAAAGCCUGACGCAGCCAUGCCGCGUGAAUGAUGAAGGUCUUAGGAUUGUAAAGUUCUUUCGCUCGUGACGAUGAUGACGGUAACGAGAGAAGAAGCCCCGGCUAACUUCGUGCCAGCAGCCGCGGUAAUACGAAGGGGGCUAGCGUUGUUCGGAAUUACUGGGCGUAAAGCGCGCGUAGGCGGUUUUGCAAGCCAGAGGUGAAAUGCCUGAGCUCAACUUAGGAAUUGCCUUUGGGACUGCGAGGCUUUGAGGACUGGAGAGGUGAGUGGAAUUCCCAGUGUAGAGGUGAAAUUCGUAGAUAUUGGGAAGAACACCAGUGGCGAAGGCGGCUCACUGGCCAGUUUCUGACGCUGCAGCGCGAAAGCGUGGGGAUCAAACAGGAUUAGAUACCCUGGUAGUCCACGCUGUAAACGAUGAGUGCUAGGCGUCGGCACGCUUGCGUGUCGGUGCCGCAGCUAACGCGUGAAGCACUCCGCCUGGGGAGUACGGUCGCAAGAUUAAAACUCAAAGGAAUUGACGG